This 403-nucleotide ribosomal RNA is filed under the name uncultured bacterium. RNAcentral's name for it is "bacterial SSU rRNA". It matches the Rfam family "Bacterial small subunit ribosomal RNA", at positions 362 to 757 of the family's 1533-position model. The record is from RNAcentral.
UUUUGGACAAUGGGCGAAAGCCUGAUCCAGCAAUGCCGCGUGCAGGAUGAAGGCCUUCGGGUUGUAAACUGCUUUUGUACGGAACGAAACGGUUCUCCUUAAUACGGGGGGCUAAUGACGGUACCGUAAGAAUAAGCACCGGCUAACUACGUGCCAGCAGCCGCGGUAAUACGUAGGGUGCGAGCGUUAAUCGGAAUUACUGGGCGUAAAGCGUGCGCAGGCGGUUAUAUAAGACAGAUGUGAAAUCCCCGGGCUCAACCUGGGACCUGCAUUUGUGACUGUAUAGCUAGAGUACGGUAGAGGGGGAUGGAAUUCCGCGUGUAGCAGUGAAAUGCGUAGAUAUGCGGAGGAACACCGAUGGCGAAGGCAAUCCCCUGGACCUGUACUGACGCUCAUGCACGAA